This is a non-coding RNA of Chrysemys picta bellii (western painted turtle), 280 nucleotides long. NCBI's taxonomy places the organism in Eukaryota, Metazoa, Chordata, Testudines, Emydidae. The record is from RefSeq and is a predicted model, not a curated record.
CUGGAUCCAGGCUAAAGGGAUUUCUAGCCUGUGUAUGGAAACCUGAGAAACCCAAGCUGCAAAGCAAAUGCAGCUUGUACCUUGAGAAUCUGCCAGACUGCUGGUAUCAUCAGUCAGGUGUCAAAGGAAUGUGGUCAGAGAGGAAAUAUCGUGGAGGAGUCUGAGCUGACAUGCUGUCACUAGCAAGAGUUACCUGGAAAUGAAAGAUCCCAGCAUAGUUCUUCUGGAAGCUCUGAUCUUUGGGAACAAUUCGAUUCAGGAUUUCUUGAUCCAAGGUAAG